This 124-nucleotide ribosomal RNA is filed under the name Lyciasalamandra fazilae. Its description in RNAcentral is "partial 16S ribosomal RNA". Lineage: Eukaryota; Metazoa; Chordata; Amphibia; Caudata; Salamandridae. The record is from RNAcentral.
GUUAUAAUUCUAGCCACCAAUAUAAACCAACAACCCUAACAAAUACCAAAAUAAAUCAUUUUUUAAUGGGAGUAUAGGCGAAAGAAACCAUCACUUGAGCAAUAGAGAGAGUACUGCAAAGGAA